RNAcentral lists this long non-coding RNA (3452 nucleotides) under Anthonomus grandis grandis. Its description in RNAcentral is "uncharacterized LOC126733448". Lineage: Eukaryota; Metazoa; Arthropoda; Insecta; Coleoptera; Curculionidae. The record is from RNAcentral.
AAUUCCAAUCAUUUCUUCAGAAAAGAGAUGGCCAUAAAUCAAUAAUUGAAAAAAUGUUGAUUUUAAAAUAUUGGGGUGCCAAUAAGGGACAAAUGUUUUUUUUCGCACAGGCACUCCUGGGAUGGAAUUCCAAUAUUCUGGGCUUUUAGCUAGUGGAUUUUAGUCAUUUCUAAAGACUAAAAGACUAAAAAGUUAGUUUAGUCUUUAAAAAAGACUAAAAAAAUCUUCAGAAUAAUCCAUAAAUCAAUAAUUGCAAAAUUUUGACAUUUUCUUUCUUGAAAAAAUUACUGUGGUUAUUAUUAAGUAAGAAAAAAUAUGACUUUUGUUGUAAAUUUCUUCGUCAAAAAAAGUUCCUAGACAAACACGAAAUUUGAUCCUCAACUGCCACAACAGAGGGAAGUAAGCUGUAAAAAACAAAAUUUUAGACUUAUUUUCUUAAUAAAAACAGUUUUUCUUACUAUAGCAAAAAAGGGUUUUUACCAGAAAAAAGGUCGAAGAAGUAGUCUUUAUUGUGUCACUGAAGGGCAAACAGGGGCAGUUAUAAUACUAAAACAAAUCCACAAACACAAAUAAAAAAAACACACUUCCUCACAGUAAAAACUGCAAAAAAUUUAGACGAAUACAGGCCAAAUUCUAAAUUCACCACUUUCAUAAAAGGGGAAAAAGGAAAACCAGCAAAACCCAUCAAAUAAUAAUGACCUCACCUGACCUCCCUCCCAACUAUUAAAGGUGAUAGACCCAUCCUUAAAGAUUUCUUUAAAGACACGUCAAAAGUAAUACAAAAACAGCCCAUAAAUUUAUCUGGGUACGGCCCCGUAAUUCUCAAAAUCAGUGGGAUAGAGAGAGAUACACAAUUACUUGCACAGCCUAAAGUAGGAAUCGCCAGAACGCAGAUGUUUUAUCUUUGUUUAAUAGACUGGCUAAAAAGAGGUGACAAGGCUGUGAGUGCUGGGAGUGUUUAAAAUAUUUUGUAAGAUGCUUGGAUUUUAGUCCGCGGUCAAUUUUUUGAUAUUAUUUUCUUUCUAAAAAUGGACAUUUUCGAAAGAAAAAUAAAAAAUAGUAUAAAACAUGCGGUUUUACGUAUAUUUAAAAUGAUUUCAUAGAUAAACUAUAUAAAAUCUUACCAUUUAAACAUGUAUAUCAUGCGACAAUAAAUACGACAUAGGCGCACGGACUAGUUAGUGCGGCAUCUGCGACACAUCAAAGAUUCUAAUAGAUCUCUGAAUUGGACUUUACCGCAUCUCCCCGUCCUUGUCGCACUUAUUGCACGAAGACGAGAAUUAAACGAGCAAAGACGCCUUUGGAAGUUUGACACGUCAUCGAGAUAACUUAUGAAACUACUCAUCUUUGUCGCACUCAUUGUAACAAGACUUAAUGUUUAAAGCAAAGCCACCUUGGAGCUUCAAGUAAUUCAAAUGUGACUCUCGAAGGUGACGAUUUGGACGAUUAUGAUAGCGACGAUUCUUUGAAAGAUCGGGAUUAUUCACCACGAACUUCGUUGCCAUCAUGUGGUUCAUCUGUCGCAGAGGAGUUGGAUAAUCUGCCUGCAACACCAGCUAAUCUAAACCCAAGUAUUUCGAUGUCAGAGAGUACUCAAAAAAGAAAGGUAAAACAAAAAACUCUUAUUAAACAAAGUGGGCGUAAAAGGAUGCGCCACAAAGAAAAUUGGCAAUCAUCAAUCCGGAAAGAGCGGUAUGCUUGUGGCCAAGCCUAUACCAGUAAGAAAGGCAAAGAAGUAUUGAAUGUAUGAAAUGUGUUAAAAGUAUGAAAUGUUUUGAAAAGAUUUCAAAAGAUGAGAGGCAAAAUAUUUUUGAAACUUACUGGAGCAAGGAAAAGUCCGCGUGGAUACUAAACGACAAUACAUUCGUUCAUGCAUUGAAGUCAAAAAUACUCAACGUAAUAGAAGCAGGGAUGGCGUCCGAACAAAGAAUAAUACACUUGUCUAUAGUUUUGUUAUUAGAAAUAAUGUGACCAUCAAAGUUUGCAAGCUAAUGUUUUUGAACACAUUAGCAAUAUCUAAUACAGUAGAUGUUAAUACUAAAAAGUCAGGAGGGAGGUAUGGUGGAAGAAGAUAAACGGGGUAAACAUAUUCCGGGAAAUAAAACACCUGAAAAUAUACGCCUGCAUGUUAAACAACACAUCGAGGGCAUACCACCCUAUGAGAGUAAUUACAAAUGCAAAGAAAUAUCUGGGUUCCGAUCUUACACUGGAAAAAUUAUACCAGCUUUAUCUUAAGUGGUGUACAGAACAUGACAUUUCAAAGGAAUUGGUUGCCAAAAAAUGGUUUUAUUCAAAGGUUUUUAACACAGAAUAUAAUUUAUCUUUUAAGUCACCAGAAAAUGACACAUGUGAUGAUUGUGAUACCUUAAUUGCAAAAAUUACAUCAAGCAAAUCGGAAACUGACAAAAAUCAAUUGCAGAUUCAACAUGACGCUCACAUACAGGAAUCGAAAAUUCGGUACCAUCUAAAGCAUGAUGACAUAGAAAGGUCUAAAACUGAAAACCAUGUAAGAAUUCUGACAGUAGAUUUACAAAAAUGUUUACCCACUCCUCUUCUUAAUUGUGGCCUUAGCUUUUACAAAAGGAAAUUAUGGACACUGAAUUUCACAAUCUACGACGCAACUACAGGUCUGGCACAUAAUAUGAUGUGAGAUGAAACUAAGGCUGCUCGAGGUGGUAACGAGGUGGGAUCAGCUUUAUUUAAAUGGGCGACACAAAAUAUCGAAGAUACCAAAGAACUGACUAUAUGGUCUAUAUUUGCUAUGGGCAAAAUAAAAACUUAUCAGUAGUAAUGGCACUUUUUUGGAUCAUUGGAACAAGUUGAGGUAAUUAAUCAUAAAUUUUUAUUGGAAGGCCACACCCAUAUGGAGGCAGACACAGUGCAUGCUGUUAUUGAAAGGAAGAGAAAGAAUUUAUUACAUCUAGAAAUUAUGACUCCGUGGGACUGGCAGCAAUUCAUUAGGCAAUGCUCCCCAAAAUUCAUUGUAGAAAAUAUGGAAGUGCAAGAUUUUUUGACUUGAAAAAACUUUACGGGACUCUCAAAAACUCACCAUUUAUCGCCAGAAAAAUCGACACAGACAAACAGGCUGUCGUAAUCUCAAAUGCAGUACAACUUCAAGUGAGAAAGGGUGAGAUUGGAAUUUUGUAUUUUAAGACAAAGUUUGAGGAUGAUUUCCGAAAAGUAAAUCUUAAAAGAAAUGCAAGAUCAUUGGACGUAAAUCUACCAGAAAAACUUCAACCUGUUACUGAGAGAGGAAAAGAUAUCAAUGAACAGAAGUACAAGGACCUUUUAUCAUUGCUCCCAUUUACCAACUCUUAUUGUCAUGAUUUCUAUAAGAAUCUUAGGCAUAACAAACUCGACAAUAACGAUUACCCUAGUACUGACGAAGACUAACUGUUGUCCGCAUACUGAUAAUGUAAUAUUAACUAAUAAAAAAUAAAGAUUUUGUUUUA